AUUGAACGCUGGCGGCAGGCCUAACACAUGCAAGUCGAACGGUAACAGGAAGCAGCUUGCUGCUUUGCUGACGAGUGGCGGACGGGUGAGUAAUGUCUGAGAAACUGCCCGAUGGAGGGGGAUAACUACUGGAAACGGUAGCUAAUACCGCAUAACGUCGCAAGACCAAAGAGGGGGACCUUAGGGCCUCUUGCCAUCGGAUGUGCCCAGAUGGGAUUAGCUAGUAGGUGGGGUAACGGCUCACCUAGGCGACGAUCCCUAGCUGGUCUGAGAGGAUGACCAGCCGCACUGGAACUGAGACACGGUCCAGACUCCUACGGGAGGCAGCAGUGGGGAAUAUUGCACAAUGGGCGCAAGCCUGAUGCAGCCAUGCCGCGUGUAUGAAGAAGGCCUUCGGGUUGUAAAGUACUUUCAGCGGGGAGGAAGGGAGUAAAGUUAAUACCUUUGCUCAUUGACGUUACCCGCAGAAGAAGCACCGGCUAACUCCGUG
This 490-nucleotide ribosomal RNA is filed under the name uncultured bacterium. Its description in RNAcentral is "partial 16S ribosomal RNA". It matches the Rfam family "Bacterial small subunit ribosomal RNA", at positions 30 to 507 of the family's 1533-position model. The record is from RNAcentral.